GGGCCCGCGGAGGGCGCGGAGACCGCCGAGCCGCUCACGCCGGUCUCGGCCGUGCCGUGGCUCGUGUCCGCGCGGACCCC
RNAcentral lists this transfer RNA (80 nucleotides) under Streptomyces spectabilis. Its description in RNAcentral is "tRNA-Val". Lineage: Bacteria; Bacillati; Actinomycetota; Actinomycetes; Kitasatosporales; Streptomycetaceae. The record is from RNAcentral.